UGGGGAAUUUUGGACAAUGGGCGCAAGCCUGAUCCAGCCAUGCCGCGUGCGGGAAGAAGGCCUUCGGGUUGUAAACCGCUUUUGUCGGGGAAGAAAUACGCCGGGCGAAUACCCUGGCGGGAUGACGGUACCCGAAGAAUAAGCACCGGCUAACUACGUGCCAGCAGCCGCGGUAAUACGUAGGGUGCAAGCGUUAAUCGGAAUUACUGGGCGUAAAGCGUGCGCAGGCGGUUGUGCAAGACAGAUGUGAAAUCCCCGGGCUCAACCUGGGAACUGCAUUUGUGACUGCACGGCUGGAGUGCGGCAGAGGGGGAUGGAAUUCCGCGUGUAGCAGUGAAAUGCGUAGAUAUGCGGAGGAACACCGAUGGCGAAGGCAAUCCCCUGGGCCUGCACUGACGCUCAUGCACGAAAGCGUGGGGAGCAAACAGG
Molecule: ribosomal RNA, 429 nt
Filed under: uncultured bacterium
Lineage: Bacteria
Description: bacterial SSU rRNA
Rfam family: Bacterial small subunit ribosomal RNA
Source: RNAcentral